CGCGCCCCUUGAUUUCAUACCAUCAGAGAGAAAGUUUUUCUCUCUGAUAUGUAUGUACAAGAGAACGAAAGAACCAUUUUUAUCAUUUGAACUGAACUUGUCAAAUCGCUGCGAGAAAAAGCUGGGAACAGCACUAGUAUGGGGAACAUACAAAUCCCGGGUGGUCAUUUCCUCUCUGAUGGUAUGAUGCACACAAAACAAAAAUAGGAUUGUCGAUUAAAACUGUACACAUUCUACUUUAUGUCAACGUUUAAUUUGUUAAGUACAUUGAUUAAACGAUUAACGAACAAUAUUUUUAAUAUGAGACUACAAUAGGACAAUUGUUUAGUAAUUAUAAAUAAAAUGUCGAAAUUCGUUGACAAUUUUUUAAUCUUUUAUGUGAUCGGUAUUUCAGUUGCAGAAAGUUCCAUGAAAUUAUUACAGGUUCCUCUCGUACCUCGUCUUACAAUAGCUCGCUCUUAGCUGGCAGCUGGGUAUACGCAGGCAAUUCGAUGAAGUACGGUUUGAUUCAUUCACAAGUGUCUGCGAUGUUCCUUGUAAUUGUUUAGCAUUGUUUCCCUUCAAAAUGUGAAUGACAGCUAAUCAUUCCGUUCGGCAUCAAUUAUAAAAGUUGUUCAUGAUUCGGACGAUCGUUACAUGCAUAGAAACUCAGAAUGGAUUGAAUUCUCGCGUUAUUUAAGUUGCUUUAAGUGUUAAAGGGAGUGAAGAAUGGACGUUGCGGAUAACGCUGACGAAGCUUUAGAUCCUCGCAUACAGAUUGAGUUGGAGAAUUUAAAUGAUGC
Long non-coding RNA from Ceratina calcarata, 782 nucleotides. RefSeq lists it as uncharacterized. The record is from RefSeq and is a predicted model, not a curated record. Lineage: Eukaryota; Metazoa; Arthropoda; Insecta; Hymenoptera; Apidae. The transcript has 3 exons.